GAUGAACGCUGGCGGCGUGCUUAACACAUGCAAGUCGAACGAUGAAGCCCAGCUUGCUGGGUGGAUUAGUGGCGAACGGGUGAGUAACACGUGAGUAACCUGCCCUUAACUCUGGGAUAAGCCUGGGAAACUGGGUCUAAUACCGGAUAGGAGCGUCCACCGCAUGGGGGGUGUUGGAAAGAUUUAUCGGUUUUGGAUGGACUCGCGGCCUAUCAGCUUGUUGGUGAGGUAAUGGCUCACCAAGGCGACGACGGGUAGCCGGCCUGAGAGGGUGACCGGCCACACUGGGACUGAGACACGGCCCAGACUCCUACGGGAGGCAGCAGUGGGGAAUAUUGCACAAUGGGCGCAAGCCUGAUGCAGCGACGCCGCGUGAGGGAUGACGGCCUUCGGGUUGUAAACCUCUUUCAGUAGGGAAGAAGCGAAAGUGACGGUACCUGCAGAAGAAGCACCGGCUAACUACGUG
Molecule: ribosomal RNA, 466 nt
Filed under: uncultured bacterium
Lineage: Bacteria
Description: partial 16S ribosomal RNA
Rfam family: Bacterial small subunit ribosomal RNA
Source: RNAcentral